GAUGAAGAACGCAGCGAAAUGCGAUAAGUAAUGUGAAUUGCAGAAUUCCGUGAAUCAUCGAAUCUUUGAACGCACAUUGCGCCCCCUGGUAUUCCGGGGGGCAUGCCUGUCCGAGCGUCAUUGCAACCUUCAAGCGCGGCUUGUGUGUUGGGUCUCGUCCCCCGUGGACGGGCCCGAAAGGCAGUGGCAGCGUCCCGACAUGGUGCCCGAGCGUAUGGGAAUCCUCUUCCGCUCGAAUCGGCCCAUGCGGCGCUGGUCGUAACCAAAUUUUUUACCGGUUGACCUCGGAUCAGGUAGGGAUACCCGCUGAACUUAAGCAUAUCAAUAAGCGGAGGA
This 336-nucleotide unclassified non-coding RNA is filed under the name soil metagenome. RNAcentral's name for it is "partial contains 5.8S ribosomal RNA, internal transcribed spacer 2, and large subunit ribosomal RNA". The stretch from base 1 to 120 matches the Rfam family "5.8S ribosomal RNA", at positions 35 to 154 of the family's 154-position model. The record is from RNAcentral.